Molecule: long non-coding RNA, 916 nt
Organism: Lemur catta (Ring-tailed lemur)
Lineage: Eukaryota; Metazoa; Chordata; Mammalia; Primates; Lemuridae
Exons: 4
Source: RefSeq, a predicted model, not a curated record
CUAACACUGGGGCUGGCUAACAUGCCCUCAGGCCUUCCCACUUAGAGGCAGAUUCAAGUUUGAGAGCCGAGUCCGGAUCCUUCAGUUAACUGUGGCCAAAAGAAAGAGAAACAGCCCUUAUGCCAACCAGGAAGACCUCUGCCCUUUGUAAGCACCUCUCAGGUCCACAAGACAUUUCUACGAUUGCCUUUGCACCCAGGCAAACUGUCCCAUGCAUGGGCCCUGCUGAGAAGACAGAGGCACAGAGACUGUGUUUUGUACGACUCGACUCAACCACCCACAGUUGGUUGGAUAAGGGCUGGGCAUUGACCCCAAAGCAGCUAAGUUUGUAGGUUGGCCAGUGGCCUAUGACCUGACACAAAAGAGUAUCUUCCAACCAGACUCCCCUUCUCUGGACUCUCAACUGGAAGCAGAGAGAAUCUGACACUGGAAAUGGCAGGUGGGGAGCCAGAGACUGAUUUUUGCACAAAUGGGAUAGAGCCUCGGACUCUGUGUUUUAAAAAUUCUGUAGGUAUAUAGACACAGGAGUGGAGUUGCUGAAUCAUAAGGUUCAGGCCGGCGCCAGUUCUCAAGGAAUUCCCUCCACCAGGUCUGCACAGGGCAGGCGAUGAGAAGUAGACACUGUACCUUCAGGGAGCUCUCAGUUUGGAAAGGAAGGAAACUCACCAGCCAGAAACCUGGGAGCCACCUGACACCCGCCUCCCUCACCGCCCUCGGCUGUCACUGUGUUGCAUGAGCUUUCCCUCCUCAUGGCCUCUCCAUCUGUCCACUGUCUUCCUCCACUCCGGUCCUCGCUGUCAUCAUCUGGAACCGCUAAGCACUGCUAGCCCCCAGCGCAGAGGGGCUGCCCGAUUGCGUGGCCGAGGAGAUGAGCGUGCACAUGGUGCUGUGAGGGGACCUCUGUCCAGAGAGGGUC